AUUGAACGCUGGCGGCAGGCCUAACACAUGCAAGUCGAGCGAGCGGCGGACGGGUGAGUAAUGUCUGGGGAUCUGCCCGAUAGAGGGGGAUAACUACUGGAAACGGUGGCUAAUACCGCAUACUAUCGGAUGAACCCAUAUGGGAUUAGCUAGUAGGUGGGGUAAAGGCUCACCUAGGCGACGAUCUCUAGCUGGUCUGAGAGGAUGAUCAGCCAAAGUGGGACUGAGACACGGCCCAGAAUCCGACGGGAGGCAGCAGUGGGGAAUAUUGCACAAUGGGCGCAAGCCGGAUGCAGACAUGCCGCGUGUAUGAAGAAGGCCUUAGGGUUGUAAAGUACUUUCAGCGGGGAGGCGGUACCCGCAGAAGAAGCAACGGCUAAAGCCGUGCCAGCAGCCGCGGGAAUAC
This 406-nucleotide ribosomal RNA is filed under the name uncultured bacterium. Its description in RNAcentral is "partial 16S ribosomal RNA". It matches the Rfam family "Bacterial small subunit ribosomal RNA", at positions 29 to 526 of the family's 1533-position model. The record is from RNAcentral.